Thalassophryne amazonica is the source of this 757-nucleotide long non-coding RNA. RefSeq lists it as uncharacterized. The record is from RefSeq and is a predicted model, not a curated record. The transcript is spliced from 3 exons. NCBI's taxonomy places the organism in Eukaryota, Metazoa, Chordata, Actinopteri, Batrachoidiformes, Batrachoididae.
UGUGCUCUUACAAUUUGAAGAACCAAUGUUACAAUUUGCGUCACAACCUGCAUGGCGGCCAUUUUGAAAAUCCCAAAGUGGCUGCCGUAAAAUGCGCAUUUUGCCAAAUAUGUGCUUCUAAUUUGUUAAACUACUUCAUCAAACUGGUUAAAUCCAUGUUUUCUGGGUCAAGGAAUUAAUUUAUAAAAAUAAAAUUAUACAUAAAUUAUAUUAUAAAUUAGUAGUCAUGGAUACAAAACAAAAACAGCAACCGAAGAUAACUAAAAUAUAUUUUCUUUUUACUUGAACAAUCACCUCCAUACUUACGUCUACCAAGAGAAUUACUAUCGCCCACUCUUGUGAACCUUGGUGGCGUGUACAGUCCAGAGCGCUGUCUCUGUAUCUGUCUGAACAUUUGCUGCUUUAUCUCCAAGGGUCAAGCGUGGUACAUGUUUAGUCCCAGUAUGCUGAAUGAUUGUUAUCGUAACAAUGACCUGAUUAGCAUAUUAAUAACAUCAAAGGUCAGGGAGUAUGAAAUCAUAUUUUCAGUCAAAGAGACCAUGAUUCAAAUUACAGGGGUUAUUGGGGAAUUGUGACCCUCCUAAUUAAGACUUGGUACCCACAAACAGUUGAAGGGGAGGGGGUCUUACCAGUCACUGUAAAUAUUACAAUAUAUUCAGACACCCUUAAACUGGACCAUCGCCUGUCUUAUCUUUAACUUAGAAAUAUUGACAAAAUGUACAUUUCCUGAAAAUGUACCAGGUUGUGACAGAAAACA